This 533-nucleotide long non-coding RNA is filed under the name Helianthus annuus (common sunflower). RNAcentral describes it as "sRNA HanXRQr2_Chr06g0265921". The record is from RNAcentral. Lineage: Eukaryota; Viridiplantae; Streptophyta; Magnoliopsida; Asterales; Asteraceae.
GUUUGUUCGACCUCCACCGCACAUGGUGGUGGUUUGGUGUUAAGAUUUUCUGAUGGAAACCCUAGAUCCGGGCUGACACUGCCGCCAGAAAAGCCAACGCCACCCCAGAGACGAUCGUCCCCACCCCACACGAUUAUAUUCAUUACCCCAUUUUUCGUAUUCAUCUCCGGUUUGAAAGAGGUGUUCUUGAUAGAGACCAUUUGAAAGAGAUUAGAGGGAUGAUUUGGUGAAGUUCUUGGAUCGAAGUGCGGAGUUCUAGGAGAAUAGUUGCUGGAUGUUUGUAAACAUGAGCUGGGAUGUGGAUUCUUUGAGUUAGUGUGUUGGAUGCGAGAAGGUGAAGAUGAAGAAUAGGGGUUUCAGUUUCUGAACUGUCACGAUGAUCUGUAGAAACAGCUGGGUUGCAGAUCUGCAAAGGGUUAGGGGCGGUGGUGUGGCCGGAGUGGUGGUGGUGGCGGCAGGAUGAGGUGGUGAUGGCAAGAUGUGGUGUUUAGGGUUAGGAAAUUGGAAAGAUAAAAUGUAUAUGUAAUUUUUUU